UGGUCUAGUGGUUAGAACGCUGGCCUUGUAAUCCUGGGGUCCCGGGUUCAAUUCCCGG
Molecule: transfer RNA, 58 nt
Filed under: Zootermopsis nevadensis
Lineage: Eukaryota; Metazoa; Arthropoda; Insecta; Blattodea; Termopsidae
Rfam family: tRNA
About the family: Transfer RNA (tRNA) molecules are approximately 80 nucleotides in length. Their secondary structure includes four short double-helical elements and three loops (D, anti-codon, and T loops).
Source: Rfam by way of RNAcentral